UACCAGCGAAGCCACGGGAGGGAUUGGUUGGAACAGACGCCGACCACUUCGUUCCCCCUCCCCUCCCCCUCGCCCUCGCCCCGGAGAGGAAAGGAAAACCACGCGAACCAACCCAGCCAGAGAGAGAGAGAGAGAGAGAAAGAAGACGAGCCCGACCCAGGCAGGCCCCCCUCGUUCCCACCGGGCGAGAGAGAGAGAGAGAGAGGGAGGGAGGGGGGAGGGAGGGAGGCCUAGCCCUAGCCGGCGGCGGGGGGGCGGGGGGGCGAUGGCCGCGACGGCGAUGCGGGCCCUGGCCCUGGCGGCCUUCUUGUUCUUGGCCGCAUCGGGGGUGGGGGCGCUGCCGAGGUUCGCGGAGGCCCCGGAGUACCGGAACGGGGAGGGGUGCCAGGCGGCGGUGGCGGGGGCGGGGGUGUGCGACCCGGGGCUGGUCCACAUCGCGAUGACGCUCGACGCGCACUACCUCCGGGGCUCCAUGGCCGCCAUCUACUCGCUGCUCAAGCACGCCUCCUGCCCGGAGUCGCUCUUCUUCCACUUCCUCGCCGCGGACGGCGCCGCGAACGGCGCCGCGCCCGGGGUCGGCGAGCUCCGGAGCGCGCUCGCCGCCUCCUUCCCCUCGCUGCGCUUCGAGAUCUACCCGUUCCGCGCCGACGCCGUCACGGGCCUCAUCUCCGCCUCGGUGCGCGCCGCGCUCGAGGCCCCGCUCAACUACGCCAGGAACUACCUCGCCGACCUGCUCCCCAAGUGCGUCCCCCGGGCCAUAUACCUCGACUCGGACGUGCUCGCCGUCGACGACGUGCGCAGGCUCUGGGAGACGCGCCUGCCCGCUGCCGCCGUCGUCGCCGCGCCAGAGUACUGCCACGCCAACUUCUCCCGCUACUUCACCGACGCCUUCUGGUCCGACCCGGACCUCGGCCCGCGCGUCUUCGCCGGCCGACGCCGCGCGCCCUGCUACUUCAACACCGGCGUCAUGGUCAUCGACCUCCGCCGCUGGCGCUCGGGGAACUACCGACAACGCAUCGAGCAGUGGAUGGAGCUGCAGAAGGAGAAGCGAAUCUACGAGCUGGGUUCGCUGCCCCCUUUCUUGCUCCUCUUCGCCGGCGAGGUGGAGGCCGUCGACCACCGCUGGAACCAGCACGGCUUGGGCGGCGACAACGUGCUCGGCAGCUGCCGCCCGCUCCACAAGGGCCCUGUCAGCCUGAUGCACUGGUCAGGCAAGGGCAAGCCAUGGGAUCGCCUCGACGCAGGCAGGCCUUGCCCGCUCGACCAUACUUGGAAAUCAUACGACCUCUACAUUGGCGACGGUGAUGCCUCGCAAGCAUCGGCGCCAUCCUGGGCCUCAUUGUCAUCAUCGGCGUUGCCCGCGGCGGUGUUUUCUUGGUAGACAGAUAUGGGAGGACACACGCUAUAAUUUUUUCAUUUGGUUGUGGUGAUGCAAUCGCGUUUGCGAUGCGUCGCCGCUGCCAUCACAGCUGCCAUCGCAAGCCGGCUGCCGCCUUCGGCUGUACAGCGAGGGGAGGGGCGGUACAUUGCAGCGGCUGCGACGGGAAGAGGAAGAAGAACAGUGCAUAGGGGAAGCAAAUUCUUGUUCAUUCACGAUACAUUUCGGAUUGAUUCAUUAUAUGCUGUGAUCCGGAGGUGGUGAGUAGGGGGUGUUGAAAUUACUUUAUUGGUGGUGUACAAUUCUUGGAUAGGAGAAAGGUUUCACUUUUUUGUCUGUUAGUUCAGGAUUGUUUCAUUUACAUUUACAUGUUUGUUCAGUAAACCAGUAUAAAUAUUGAUUGAAUUGAUUUCAAUAAAACAGGGUGGAUCUUAUUCUUGCUGCA
Hordeum vulgare subsp. vulgare (domesticated barley) is the source of this 1823-nucleotide RNA transcript. It is a transcript of the gene named probable galacturonosyltransferase-like 9, with no coding region annotated. The transcript has a single exon. The record is from RefSeq and is a predicted model, not a curated record. NCBI's taxonomy places the organism in Eukaryota, Viridiplantae, Streptophyta, Magnoliopsida, Poales, Poaceae.